AAAAUGGAGAGUUUGAUCCUGGCUCAGGAUGAACGCUGGCGGUAUGCUUAACACAUGCAAGUCGAACGGAAUCUUUAGGGAUUUAGUGGCGGACGGGUGAGUAACGCGUAAGAAUCUACCUUCAGGUUGGGGACAACCACUGGAAACGGUGGCUAAUACCGAAUGUGCCGAGAGGUGAAAGGCUUGCUGCCUGAAGAAGAGCUUGCGUCUGAUUAGCUAGUUGGUGGGGUAAGAGCCUACCAAGGCGACGAUCAGUAGCUGGUCUGAGAGGAUGAUCAGCCACACUGGGACUGAGACACGGCCCAGACUCCUACGGGAGGCAGCAGUGGGGAAUUUUCCGCAAUGGGCGAAAGCCUGACGGAGCAAUACCGCGUGAGGGAGGAAGGCUCUUGGGUUGUAAACCUCUUUUCUCAGGGAAGAAAAAAAUGACGGUACCUGAGGAAUAAGCAUCGGCUAACUCCGUGCCAGCAGCCGCGGUAAUACGGAGGAUGCAAGCGUUAUCCGGAAUGAUUGGGCGUAAAGGGUCCGCAGGUGGCAUUGUAUGUCUGCUGUUAAAGAGUUUGGCUCAACCAAAUCAAAGCAGUGGAAACUACAAAGCUAGAGUAUGGUCGGGGCAGAGGGAAUUCCUGGUGUAGCGGUGAAAUGCGUAGAUAUCAGGAAGAACACCGGUGGCGAAGGCGCUCUGCUAGGCCAAAACUGACACUGAGGGACGAAAGCUAGGGGAGCGAAUGGGAUUAGAUACCCCAGUAGUCCUAGCCGUAAACGAUGGAUACUAGGUGUAGCUCGUAUCGACCCGAGCUGUACCGUAGCUAACGCGUUAAGUAUCCCGCCUGGGGAGUACGCAGGCAACUGUGAAACUCAAAGGAAUUGACGGGGGCCCGCACAAGCGGUGGAGUAUGUGGUUUAAUUCGAUGCAACGCGAAGAACCUUACCAAGGCUUGACAUGUCACGAAUCCCGGCGAAAAUGAGAUGUUGGGUUAAGUCCCGCAACGAGCGCAACCCUCGUUUUUAGUUGCCAGCAUUAAGUUGGGCACUCUAGAGAGACUGCCGGUGACAAACCGGAGGAAGGUGGGGAUGACGUCAAGUCAGCAUGCCCCUUACGUCUUGGGCUACACACGUACUACAAUGCUCCGGACAAAGGGCAGCUACACAGCGAUGUGAUGCGAAUCUCAUAAACCGGAGCUCAGUUCAGAUCGAAGGCUGCAACUCGCCUUCGUGAAGGAGGAAUCGCUAGUAAUUGCAGGUCAGCAUACUGCAGUGAAUUCGUUCCCGGGCCUUGUACACACCGCCCGUCACACCAUGGAAGUUGGUCACGCCCGAAGUCGUUACCCCAACCUUUUGGAGGGGGAUGCCUAAGGUAGGACUGAUGACUGGGGUGAAGUCGUAACAAGGUAGCCGUACCGGAAGGUGUGGCUGGAUCACCUCCUUUU
This 1430-nucleotide ribosomal RNA is filed under the name Dolichospermum sp. UHCC 0352. Its description in RNAcentral is "bacterial SSU rRNA". It matches the Rfam family "Bacterial small subunit ribosomal RNA". Lineage: Bacteria; Bacillati; Cyanobacteriota; Cyanophyceae; Nostocales; Aphanizomenonaceae. The record is from RNAcentral.